AGAGAACUGUGGAUGUUCCUCAGUGAGAGGAGCGCGUUCAGCCCGUCCGCCAGUCCACUGCCAAACUCCACUUCCUCUCCCGGCCAUGUGCCGCUCGCACCCAACACUGCCAGAACAGAAGAGGAGACCAGCAGACUGCCUGCACACCUGCGCAUGCAGCCGGUGUUCUGGAGCCGUGAGGAUGUGUGUGUGUGGCUGCGCUGGGCG
Non-coding RNA from Danio rerio (zebrafish), 207 nucleotides. Lineage: Eukaryota; Metazoa; Chordata; Actinopteri; Cypriniformes; Danionidae. The record is from RefSeq and is a predicted model, not a curated record.